Molecule: ribosomal RNA, 253 nt
Filed under: uncultured bacterium
Lineage: Bacteria
Description: partial 16S ribosomal RNA
Rfam family: Bacterial small subunit ribosomal RNA
Source: RNAcentral
UACGAAGGGUGCAAACGUUGCUCGGAAUUAUUGGGCGUAAAGCGCACGUAGGCGGCUUUGCAAGUCGGAUGUGAAAUCCCUCGGCUUAACCAAGGAAGUGCAUCCGAAACUGCAAGGCUUGAGUACUUAAGAGGAUCGCGGAAUUCCCGGUGUAGAGGUGAAAUUCGUAGAUAUCGGGAGGAACACCAGUGGCGAAGGCGGCGAUCUGGGAAGAUACUGACGCUGAGGUGCGAAAGCCAGGGGAGCAAACGGG